RNAcentral lists this ribosomal RNA (632 nucleotides) under uncultured bacterium. RNAcentral's name for it is "bacterial SSU rRNA". It matches the Rfam family "Bacterial small subunit ribosomal RNA", at positions 394 to 1040 of the family's 1533-position model. The record is from RNAcentral.
ACGCCGCGUGAGGGAUGAAGGCUCUGGGCUGUAAACCUCUUUUAUCAAGAGAAGAAGAUCUGACGGUACUUGAUGAAUAAGCCACGGCUAAUUCCGUGCCAGCAGCCGCGGUAAUACGGGAGUGGCAAGCGUUAUCCGGAAUUAUUGGGCGUAAAGCGUCCGCAGGCGGUCUUGUAAGUCUGUCGUUAAAGCGUGGAGCUUAACUCCAUUUGAGCGAUGGAAACUGCAAGACUAGAGUGUGGUAGGGGCAGAGGGAAUUCCCGGUGUAGCGGUGAAAUGCGUAGAUAUCGGGAAGAACACCAGUGGCGAAGGCGCUCUGCUGGGCCAUAACUGACGCUCAUGGACGAAAGCCAGGGGAGCGAAAGGGAUUAGAUACCCCUGUAGUCCUGGCCGUAAACGAUGAACACUAGGUGUCGGGGGAAUCGACCCCCUCGGUGUCGUAGCCAACGCGUUAAGUGUUCCGCCUGGGGAGUACGCACGCAAGUGUGAAACUCAAAGGAAUUGACGGGGGCCCGCACAAGCGGUGGAGUAUGUGGUUUAAUUCGAUGCAACGCGAAGAACCUUACCAGNGUUUGACAUCCUGCGAAUCCCUUGGAAACGAGGGAGUGCCUUCGGGAGCGCAGUGACAGGUG